This 227-nucleotide long non-coding RNA is filed under the name Elaeis guineensis (African oil palm). RNAcentral's name for it is "long non-coding RNA (EGUI_LNC070101)". The record is from RNAcentral. Lineage: Eukaryota; Viridiplantae; Streptophyta; Magnoliopsida; Arecales; Arecaceae.
CGUCGGCACAAGUCGUGGCAUUCAGCGAACAUCACAAUCUGCAAGGCCUUAAAGCCAACCUUAACUUGCUAGAAGAAAAGCAGGAGGCAGCUCAAGUUCAGAUGGCAGCCUACAGGCAGAAGGUCGCCCGCUAUUACAACUUUCGGGUCAAAAAUAAAGUCUUUAGAGCUGGGGACCUGGUGCUUCGACGAGCCACCGUCUCGCAACCUCAGGAUCGAGGAAAGCUU